Molecule: ribosomal RNA, 460 nt
Filed under: uncultured bacterium
Lineage: Bacteria
Description: partial 16S ribosomal RNA
Rfam family: Bacterial small subunit ribosomal RNA
Source: RNAcentral
CCUACGGGAGGCAGCAGUGAGGAAUAUUGGUCAAUGGGCGCGAGCCUGAACCAGCCAAGUCGCGUGAGGGAUGAAUGUUCUAUGGAUCGUAAACCUCUUUUAUAAGGGAAUAAAGUGUGGGACGUGUCCUCUUUUGUAUGUACUUUAUGAAUAAGGAUCGGCUAACUCCGUGCCAGCAGCCGCGGUAAUACGGAGGAUCCGAGCGUUAUCCGGAUUUAUUGGGUUUAAAGGGAGCGUAGACGGCCUUUUAAGUCAGCUGUGAAAGUUUGUGGCUCAACCAUAGAAUUGCAGUUGAAACUGGGGGGCUUGAGUACGGUUGAGGCAGGCGGAAUGCGUGGUGUAGCGGUGAAAUGCUUAGAUAUCACGCAGAACCCCGAUUGCGAAGGCAGCCUACCAAGCCAUGACUGACGCUGAUGCACGAAAGCGUGGGGAUCAAACAGGAUUAGAUACCCCGGUAGUC